CGGCUACCUGGUCUGCAACUGACGCUGAGACUCGAAAGCAUGGGUAGCGAACAGGAUUAGAUACCCUGGUAGUCCAUGCCGUAAACGAUGAGUGCUAGGUGUUGGAGGGUUUCCGCCCUUCAGUGCCGGAGCUAACGCAUUAAGCACUCCGCCUGGGGAGUACGACCGCAAGGUUGAAACUCAAAGGAAUUGACGGGGGCCCGCACAAGCGGUGGAGCAUGUGGUUUAAUUCGAAGCUACGCGAAGAACCUUACCAGGUCUUGACAUCUUGCGCCAACCCUAGAGAUAGGGCGUUUCCUUCGGGAACGCAAUGACAGGUGGUGCAUGGUCGUCGUCAGCUCGUGUCGUGAGAUGUUGGGUUAAGUCCCGCAACGAGCGCAACCCUUGUUACUAGUUGCCAGCAUUAAGUUGGGCACUCUAGUGAGACUGCCGGUGACAAACCGGAGGAAGGUGGGGACGACGUCAGAUCAUCAUGCCCCUUAUGACCUGGGCUACACACGUGCUACAAUGGACGGUACAACGAGUCGCGAACUCGCGAGGGCAAGCAAAUCUCUUAAAACCGUUCUCAGUUCG
This 573-nucleotide ribosomal RNA is filed under the name Limosilactobacillus fermentum. RNAcentral's name for it is "bacterial SSU rRNA". It matches the Rfam family "Bacterial small subunit ribosomal RNA", at positions 722 to 1295 of the family's 1533-position model. Lineage: Bacteria; Bacillati; Bacillota; Bacilli; Lactobacillales; Lactobacillaceae. The record is from RNAcentral.